Molecule: ribosomal RNA, 253 nt
Filed under: uncultured bacterium
Lineage: Bacteria
Description: partial 16S ribosomal RNA
Rfam family: Bacterial small subunit ribosomal RNA
Source: RNAcentral
UACGUAGGGUGCGAGCGUUAAUCGGAAUUACUGGGCGUAAAGCGCGCGCAGGCGGCCCGCGAGGUGUCACGUGAAAGCCCCGGGCUCAACCCGGGAGGGUCGUGGCAAACCGGCGGGCUUGAGGCCGGUAGAGGUGGGUGGAACUCCUGGUGGAGUGGUGAAAUGCGUAGAGAUCAGGAAGAACACCAGUGGCGAAGGCGGCUCACUGGCCCGGUACUGACGCUGAGGUGCGAAAGCGUGGGGAGCAAACAGG